GCAUUGGUGGUUCAGUGGUAGAAUUCU
Molecule: non-coding RNA, 27 nt
Filed under: Drosophila erecta
Lineage: Eukaryota; Metazoa; Arthropoda; Insecta; Diptera; Drosophilidae
Also listed under: 11 other names
Source: RNAcentral